ACAGUGAGAACCAUCGCUCUGAGGUCAGAAAGCUCCCACUUUUGACAACAAUGAUCCGGCCUAUGGUUCCCAAAAAGCUGGGAUUAGACUACUCUGAAGGCAGAAAUUCCAAGAACCUGCUGUGAUCAUUCAUUCAGUGAGGUUAGACCCAGAUAUGCAUUGUGCCUAAGGCAUAGACAGAACAAAAUUGAUUUGACUCAGCAGAAGAGUAUCACAUUGCAGAAGGUUGGAAUUGAAAAUCACUCAGAAUCCAGCUUCUGUUUCUUUUCUUCAGGCUGGU
Molecule: long non-coding RNA, 280 nt
Filed under: Nicotiana benthamiana
Lineage: Eukaryota; Viridiplantae; Streptophyta; Magnoliopsida; Solanales; Solanaceae
Description: long non-coding RNA (NBEN_LNC001582)
Source: RNAcentral